GGGCUCGCUGGCAAAAGGCGCAGGCGGGGCUGCCAUUCCAACUGUCACGGCACUUGCCCCCUUCCGAUGGUUUGAUUCCGCCGCGAGCCCAC
RNAcentral lists this transfer RNA (92 nucleotides) under Nitrobacter winogradskyi. RNAcentral describes it as "tRNA-Trp". Lineage: Bacteria; Pseudomonadati; Pseudomonadota; Alphaproteobacteria; Hyphomicrobiales; Nitrobacteraceae. The record is from RNAcentral.